Molecule: ribosomal RNA, 57 nt
Filed under: Umbilicaria polyrhizos
Lineage: Eukaryota; Fungi; Ascomycota; Lecanoromycetes; Umbilicariales; Umbilicariaceae
Description: Umbilicaria polyrrhiza partial 28S ribosomal RNA
Source: RNAcentral
UGACCUCGGAUCAGGUAGGAUACCCGCUGAACUUAAGCAUAUCAUAAGGCGGGAGGA